UACGGAGGGAGCUAGCGUUGUUCGGAAUUACUGGGCGUAAAGCGCGCGUAGGCGGCUUUGUAAGUUAGAGGUGAAAGCCCGGAGCUCAACUCCGGAACUGCCUUUAAAACUGCAUCGCUUGAAUCCAGGAGAGGUGAGUGGAAUUCCGAGUGUAGAGGUGAAAUUUGUAGAUAUUCGGAAGAACACCAGUGGCGAAGGCGGCUCACUGGACUGGUAUUGACGCUGAGGUGCGAAAGCGUGGGGAGCAAACAGG
This 253-nucleotide ribosomal RNA is filed under the name uncultured bacterium. Its description in RNAcentral is "partial 16S ribosomal RNA". It matches the Rfam family "Bacterial small subunit ribosomal RNA", at positions 524 to 776 of the family's 1533-position model. The record is from RNAcentral.